AUGGCCCCGAAGAAAGAAAAGAGGCCACCUCUUGCGGACGAUAUCGGCACAAAGUACACAAUGCUUGACCCUAGGUUCGACAAGCAUCACCGUGCCCGUUUCAUUGAGAAUGGAGUGAUGCUGCCGCCACUACGGAUGAGGGCUCACAAGACGACGGUUAAGAUGGAGUACGACGAUCGGUACGCACCGUUCUUCAGGAGAGCCCGACUAUUGGGUUUCGUCCUGCAGUUCAAGCGUAAGCCGCCAACGCUCGUUCACUCAGCUCUCACGGCUUUGAUCGACCGGUGGCGGCCAGAGACGCACAGCUUUCAUCUUCCAUGCGGGGAGAUGACCGUGACCCUCGAGGAUUGGGCGAUGAUUACGGCACUACCGCUGGAGGGUCGUCCUCUCACGGGAAGAGUGGAGAGGGCAAACUGGCUCGAGAGGGUUGUCAGCCUCAUCGGCGACUGCCCCGCCGCUAAGAGCAACCGGACUUCCGGUAUACCGCUGCCAUGGCUCCUCGAGCACCGGAGGAAGUGCCCGGAAGAUGCCGAGCCCCGGGUGGUGGAGCAGUACACCAGGGCCUACCUGUGGUACAUUCUCACGGAGGUAGUGUUUCCGGACUGCUCUGGGAACUCUGCCCUAUGGAUCUAUCUCGACUUCCUGAAGGACUGGGAUGCGGGGUAUAGCUGGGGGGCCGCCGGACUUGGCUACCUAUACCGUUCGCUUGACGACGCGACCCAGAGAGGGGAAGUUUCGUCCGGUAUGUGUGGAUGUGUGUGGGGCCUCUCCAUUUGGAUGUGUGAGCGAAUCCCGGUGGGCCGUCCGGAGAAGAUGUGCUCGCGUGCAUGGACGGACUAUGGAGGAGAUGACGAAGAUGAUCGGAACCCGACCGUCGCAUACGCUUGGGACGUGGUGCGUGUCUACACGGGCGAAUCGAAGGCCUUGUACAAGGUCUUCAGCAACGAGCUUGAUUCUCUCACGCCUUUCCAGGUUACUUGGCGGUCGUAUAGUGAUGAUCGACAGUGGGGGUUCGAGCUGAACAGCAUGUGCAAGCAGGACCGGCUGCUCUUCCGGUGCAUCGUGCCCAUGAUUUGUGUCUAUGCCGUGGAGUACCACUUGCCACAGCGCGUUGCCGCACAAUUUGGUAAGACGCAACACACACCACCAGCCGGCAUCGUCCGCGACACCGGUGGCUACGACCUACACCUGAUGAGUAGGCAGAAGAAUCAAUCAAUCACAGAUUGGGAAGCCGAACAUGCGAGAUACGUGAAGGAAUGGAACGAGUGGAAAACACGCAAAGACACGGAGAGGAGAGUGAUUGACUGGGACGCGUACGAGGAUCACAUGUUGUGGUACGAUGAUGGCAUCAAGCAUUGUCUGCGUCUGAGGCCCCAGUGGACGACAGCAGAUGCCGAA
Molecule: ribosomal RNA, 1398 nt
Filed under: Triticum aestivum (bread wheat)
Lineage: Eukaryota; Viridiplantae; Streptophyta; Magnoliopsida; Poales; Poaceae
Description: partial small subunit ribosomal RNA
Source: RNAcentral